Molecule: ribosomal RNA, 772 nt
Filed under: uncultured bacterium
Lineage: Bacteria
Description: bacterial SSU rRNA
Rfam family: Bacterial small subunit ribosomal RNA
Source: RNAcentral
CAGUCGAGGGGCAGCAUUGGUACUUGUACCAGAUGGCGACCGGCGCACGGGUGCGUAACGCGUAUGCAACCUACCUUAUACAGAGGGAUAGCCCAUGGAAACGUGGAUUAACACCUCAUAGUAUCAUUUUAUCGCAUGAUGAGAUGAUUAAAAUUUCGAUGGUAUAAGAUGGGCAUGCGUAGGAUUAGGUAGUUGGUGAGGUAACAGCUCACCAAGCCGACGAUCCUUAGGGGUUCUGAGAGGAUUAUCCCCCACACUGGUACUGAGACACAGACCAGACUCCUACGGGAGGCAGCAGUGAGGAAUAUUGGUCAAUGGACGCAAGUCUGAACCAGCCAUCCCGCGUGCAGGAUGACGGCCCUAUGGGUUGUAAACUGCUUUUGUUUGCCAAGAAUGGUUACUACGUGUAGUAAUUUGACGGUAGCAAAUGAAUAAGGACCGGCUAACUCCGUGCCAGCAGCCGCGGUAAUACGGAGGGUCCAAGCGUUAUCCGGAUUCAUUGGGUUUAAAGGGUGCGCAGGCGGAUCUUUAAGUCAGUGGUGAAAUCUUGCCGCUUAACGGUAAAAUUGCCAUUGAUACUGAAGUUCUUGAAUAUGGUUGAGGUAGGCGGAAUGUGUUGUGUAGCGGUGAAAUGCAUAGAUAUGACACAGAACGCCGAUUGCGAAGGCAGCUUACUAAGCCAUUAUUGACGCUGAGGCACGAAAGCGUGGGGAGCGAACAGGAUUAGAUACCCUGGUAGUCCACGCCGUAAACGAUGUUCACUCGCUGUCUG